Molecule: long non-coding RNA, 532 nt
Organism: Branchiostoma floridae (Florida lancelet)
Lineage: Eukaryota; Metazoa; Chordata; Leptocardii; Amphioxiformes; Branchiostomatidae
Exons: 3
Source: RefSeq, a predicted model, not a curated record
GUCAGUGCACGGGAUGAGAUAGACAGCAAAGAAGACACAGUUAAAUUGUAACACUCGAUUCCGUGUUAAACAAAAGAAUUACGUAUAAAAACCUUGCCAUCUUAUUGGUCUCAACUGUCUUGAUUCGAAGAUGUUUCUUAGCUGCGGUCUUAUGACGAAGAAGAUGUGGUUUCAGCUCAUCUGCCUGUCUGUUUUCUACGUUUGUUUUGCCGCUGCAGCCGAAGCAGAGGUGUCUGUUCUUGUCGGUGGCACAGCUGUAAUGACGUGUCCUAUUGGUGACGUCACUGCCUACAGAACCACGUGGAUGAAAGGGAGCGUCCUAUUGGCUGAGAUACCGCAAGCGGGACCGCCUCUUAUCCCACCAACGGGAGCAGGGAGAGUGAGUGUAAACGGAAGUGACGUCAUAAUCCAAGGGGUCGCACUUCCGGAUGAAGGCUCCUAUAGCUGUUCUGUACUGGAUACAAGUUUUGCUACUGUGAUGUCUACCGUGGACCUCCUAGUUAGGGGUAGGUACUUUUGUUACCUGAGAAAA